RNAcentral lists this ribosomal RNA (1346 nucleotides) under uncultured bacterium. RNAcentral describes it as "partial 16S ribosomal RNA". It matches the Rfam family "Bacterial small subunit ribosomal RNA", at positions 28 to 1381 of the family's 1533-position model. The record is from RNAcentral.
GACGAACGCUGGCGGCGUGCUUAACACAUGCAAGUCGAACGGAAAGGCCCUGCUUUUGUGGGGUGCUCGAGUGGCGAACGGGUGAGUAACACGUGAGUAACCUGCCCUUGACUUUGGGAUAACUUCAGGAAACUGGGGCUAAUACCGGAUAGGAGCUCCUGCUGCAUGGUGGGGGUUGGAAAGUUUCGGCGGUUGGGGAUGGACUCGCGGCUUAUCAGCUUGUUGGUGGGGUAGUGGCUUACCAAGGCUUUGACGGGUAGCCGGCCUGAGAGGGUGACCGGCCACAUUGGGACUGAGAUACGGCCCAGACUCCUACGGGAGGCAGCAGUGGGGAAUAUUGCACAAUGGGCGGAAGCCUGAUGCAGCAACGCCGCGUGCGGGAUGACGGCCUUCGGGUUGUAAACCGCUUUCGCCUGUGACGAAGCGUGAGUGACGGUAAUGGGUAAAGAAGCACCGGCUAACUACGUGCCAGCAGCCGCGGUGAUACGUAGGGUGCGAGCGUUGUCCGGAUUUAUUGGGCGUAAAGGGCUCGUAGGUGGUUGAUCGCGUCGGAAGUGUAAUCUUGGGGCUUAACCCUGAGCGUGCUUUCGAUACGGGUUGACUUGAGGAAGGUAGGGGAGAAUGGAAUUCCUGGUGGAGCGGUGGAAUGCGCAGAUAUCAGGAGGAACACCAGUGGCGAAGGCGGUUCUCUGGGCCUUUCCUGACGCUGAGGAGCGAAAGCGUGGGGAGCGAACAGGCUUAGAUACCCUGGUAGUCCACGCUGUAAACGGUGGGUACUAGGUGUGGGGUCCAUUCCACGGGUUCCGUGCCGUAGCUAACGCUUUAAGUACCCCGCCUGGGGAGUACGGCCGCACGGCUAAAACUCAAAGGAAUUGACGGGGCCCCGCACAAGCGGCGGAGCACGCGGAUUAAUUCGAUGCAACGCGUAGAACCUUACCUGGGUUUGACAUGGAUCGGGAGUGCUCAGAGAUGGGUGUGCCUCUUUUGGGGUCGGUUCACAGGUGGUGCAUGGCUGUCGUCAGCUCGUGUCGUGAGAUGUUGGGUUAAGUCCCGCAACGAGCGCAACCCUUGUUCACUGUUGCCAGCACGUUAUGGUGGGGACUCAGUGGAGACCGCCGGGGUCAACUCGGAGGAAGGUGGGGACGACGUCAAGUCAUCAUGCCCCUUAUGUCCAGGGCUUCACGCAUGCUACAAUGGCUGGUACAGAGAGUGGCGAGCCUGUGAGGGUGAGCGAAUCUCGGAAAGCCGGUCUCAGUUCGGAUUGGGGUCUGCAACUCGACCUCAUGAAGUCGGAGUCGCUAGUAAUCGCAGAUCAGCAACGCUGCGGUGAAUACGUUCCCGGGGCU